CCUACGGGUGGCAGCAGUGAGGAAUAUUGGUCAAUGGGCGCGAGCCUGAACCAGCCAAGUAGCGUGAAGGAUGACUGCCCUACGGGUUGUAAACUUCUUUUGUAGAGGAAUAAAGUCAGGCACGUGUGCCUGUUUGUAUGUACUUUAUGAAUAAGGAUCGGCUAACUCCGUGCCAGCAGCCGCGGUAAUACGGAGGAUGCGAGCGUUAUCCGGAUUUAUUGGGUUUAAAGGGUGCGUAGAUGGGUUGUUAAGUCAGUGGUGAAAGUGUGCGGCUCAACCGUAAAAUGGCAGUUGAUACUGGCAGUCUUGAGUACAGUAGAGGUAGGCGGAAUGCGUGGUGUAGCGGUGAAAUGCUUAGAUAUCACGAAGAACUCCGAUUGCGAAGGCAGCUUACUAAACUCACACUGACGUUGAGGCACGAAAGCGUGGGUAUCAAACAGGAUUAGAUACCCUUGUAGUC
RNAcentral lists this ribosomal RNA (460 nucleotides) under uncultured bacterium. RNAcentral describes it as "partial 16S ribosomal RNA". It matches the Rfam family "Bacterial small subunit ribosomal RNA", at positions 338 to 795 of the family's 1533-position model. The record is from RNAcentral.